Penaeus monodon (black tiger shrimp) is the source of this 1387-nucleotide RNA transcript. It is a transcript of the gene named actin-57B-like, with no coding region annotated. The transcript is spliced from 2 exons. NCBI's taxonomy places the organism in Eukaryota, Metazoa, Arthropoda, Malacostraca, Decapoda, Penaeidae. The record is from RefSeq and is a predicted model, not a curated record.
AGGGGAGUGUGGGUGGGACGUUGUAAGAACUCGGGAGCUUGUAUAUAAGAGCUAUGAGGUUCAGAACUACCUUUAGUCUUCAACGGACUCAGGAUCUACAACUACCCAAUUCAGAUCUGAAUAACCUUCCUCAACCAUGUGUGACGAAGACGCAUGUGCUCUAGUGGUCGACAAUGGCUCUGGCAUGGUCAAGGCCGGAUUCGCCGGAGACGACGCCCCUCGUGCCGUCUUCCCCUCCAUCGUCGGCCGCCCUCGCCAUCAGGGUGUGAUGGUCGGUAUGGGUCAGAAGGACGCCUACGUCGGCGAUGAGGCCCAGAGCAAGAGAGGUAUCCUCACUCUCAAGUACCCCAUUGAGCACGGUAUCAUCACCAACUGGGACGACAUGGAGAAGAUCUGGCAUCACUCCUUCUACAACGAACUCCGUGUUGCUCCUGAGGAAUCUCCCGUCCUCCUCACUGAGGCUCCCCUCAACCCCAAGGCCAACCGUGAGAAGAUGACCCAGAUCAUGUUCGAGACUUUCAGCGCUCCCGCCAUGUACGUGGCCUAUCCAGGCUGUGCUCUCCCUGUACGCCUCUGGUCGUACCACUGGUAUUGUGCUGGACUCUGGUGAUGGCGUCUCUCACACUGUCCCCAUCUACGAAGGUUAUGCUCUUCCUCACGCCAUCCUUCGUCUUGACUUGGCUGGUCGUGACCUUACCGCUUACCUGAUGAAGAUCAUGACUGAACGUGGCUAUUCCUUCACCACCACCGCUGAACGGGAAAUCGUUCGUGACAUCAAGGAGAAGCUUUGCUACGUCGCCCUUGACUUCGAGAGUGAGAUGAACGUUGCUGCUGCUUCCUCCUCCCUUGAGAAGUCCUAUGAACUUCCUGACGGUCAGGUCAUCACCAUUGGCAAUGAACGCUUCCGCGCCCCUGAGUCCCUGUUCCAGCCUUCCUUCCUGGGUAUGGAAUCUGUUGGUAUCCACGAGACCGUGUACAACUCCAUCAUGAGGUGCGACAUUGAUAUCAGGAAGGAUCUGUUUGCUAACAUUGUUAUGUCUGGUGGUACCACCAUGUACCCUGGUAUCGCUGACCGUAUGCAGAAGGAGAUCACUUCUCUGGCUCCUUCCACCAUCAAGAUCAAGAUCAUUGCUCCUCCCGAGCGCAAAUACUCCGUGUGGAUCGGUGGUUCCAUCCUGGCCUCUCUGUCCACCUUCCAGGCCAUGUGGAUCACCAAGGAAGAAUAUGACGAGUCAGGCCCCGGCAUCGUUCAUCGCAAGUGCUUCUAAGUUUACUUUACGUUGAUCAUGAUGCAAAGAUACUUUAUUCGGACUUCCUCUCAUACGAUUACCGUUCACUUGAACUGUGAAUGAAUUCUUUACGGAUCUCUUUAAAAUAGUAAUUGCCA